RNAcentral lists this ribosomal RNA (492 nucleotides) under uncultured bacterium. RNAcentral's name for it is "bacterial SSU rRNA". It matches the Rfam family "Bacterial small subunit ribosomal RNA", at positions 29 to 516 of the family's 1533-position model. The record is from RNAcentral.
AACGAACGCUGGCGGCAGGCCUAACACAUGCAAGUCGAGCGGUAGAGAGGUGCUUGCAUCUCUUGAGAGCGGCGGACGGGUGAGUAAUGCCUAGGAAUCUGCCUAGUGGUGGGGGAUAACGUUCGGAAACGGACGCUAAUACCGCAUACGUCCUACGGGAGAAAGCGGGGGAUCUUCGGACCUCGCGCCAUUAGAUGAGCCUAGGUCGGAUUAGCUAGUUGGUGAGGUAAUGGCUCACCAAGGCGACGAUCCGUAACUGGUCUGAGAGGAUGAUCAGUCACACUGGAACUGAGACACGGUCCAGACUCCUACGGGAGGCAGCAGUGGGGAAUAUUGGACAAUGGGCGAAAGCCUGAUCCAGCCAUGCCGCGUGUGUGAAGAAGGUCUUCGGAUUGUAAAGCACUUUAAGUUGGGAGGAAGGGUAGUAACCUAAUACGUUGCUACUUUGACGUUACCGACAGAAUAAGCACCGGNUAACUCGUGCCAGCAGCC